This 464-nucleotide ribosomal RNA is filed under the name uncultured bacterium. Its description in RNAcentral is "partial 16S ribosomal RNA". It matches the Rfam family "Bacterial small subunit ribosomal RNA", at positions 28 to 506 of the family's 1533-position model. The record is from RNAcentral.
GACGAACGCUGGCGGCGUGCUUAACACAUGCAAGUCGAACGGAAAGGCCCCAGCUUGCUGGGGUACUCGAGUGGCGAACGGGUGAGUAACACGUGGGUGAUCUGCCCUGCACUCUGGGAUAAGCCUGGGAAACUGGGUCUAAUACCGGAUAGGACCGUGCUUUAGUGUGUGCGGUGGAAAGUUUUUCGGUGCAGGAUGAGCCCGCGGCCUAUCAGCUUGUUGGUGGGGUAAUGGCCUACCAAGGCGGCGACGGGUAGCCGGCCUGAGAGGGUGUACGGCCACAUUGGGACUGAGACACGGCCCAGACUCCUACGGGAGGCAGCAGUGGGGAAUAUGGCACAAUGGGCGCAAGCCUGAUGCAGCGACGCCGCGUGGGGGAUGACGGCCUUCGGGUUGUAAACCCCUUUCGGCAGGGACGAAGCUUUUGUGACGGUACCUGCAUAAGAAGCACCGGCUAACUACGU